UAAAUGGAUUGAAAUUUUCUG
Molecule: non-coding RNA, 21 nt
Organism: Caenorhabditis elegans
Lineage: Eukaryota; Metazoa; Nematoda; Chromadorea; Rhabditida; Rhabditidae
Source: Ensembl